GCACCCGUAGCUCAGCUGGAUAGAGCGUUGCCCUCCGAAGGCAAAGGUCACACGUUCGAAUCGUGUCGGGUGCGCCA
RNAcentral lists this transfer RNA (77 nucleotides) under Caulobacter sp. Its description in RNAcentral is "tRNA-Arg". It matches the Rfam family "tRNA". From Rfam's summary of the family: Transfer RNA (tRNA) molecules are approximately 80 nucleotides in length. Their secondary structure includes four short double-helical elements and three loops (D, anti-codon, and T loops). Lineage: Bacteria; Pseudomonadati; Pseudomonadota; Alphaproteobacteria; Caulobacterales; Caulobacteraceae. The record is from RNAcentral. RNAcentral also lists the same sequence under 1308 other names.